UAUUGAUACAAUCAACAAUGCAAACAUUGUACCUGUCAACGUUGGUUUUGCUGGUGCUGAUGCAACGUGUAUCAGCUGGGAGUUUUCCCGAACCCGUGCCAGUAAUCGAGCCAUCCGAUGUCACUUGUAAGUGCCAUCCUAAAUGCGGGAACGAAGACACCUGUACCAUUUUCGGCGCAUGCGUCAUGAGUGGCACAGGGGGAUCCCCGCGUAACAUGUACCUGGGAUGUAUGAAUGAGCGUCAGGUCGAAUACCUUUGCAACGAGCCUAUGCUAGCGGAUAUCAGUUGUUGUUCUCAUGACAUGUGCAAUGAUGUAUGGAUUCCCGAUGAGUGGCCUCUCAACUCCUAAUUACAGUUGCUUGGAAAACGAGAUUGCUGCCAUUCUGACAACGCCGCCGACAUUGAUACAAAUAAUGUUAUCGCACAACACGUGUUGCAUGCCUUUUCGACUGAACAUAUCAUUUGCAUAACGGAACUGUAACGUAGUAGUAGUCUGAAUAAAUAUUAGAUUAACACGCAC
This is a long non-coding RNA of Saccoglossus kowalevskii, 521 nucleotides long. The record is from RefSeq and is a predicted model, not a curated record. Lineage: Eukaryota; Metazoa; Hemichordata; Enteropneusta; Harrimaniidae.